This 253-nucleotide ribosomal RNA is filed under the name uncultured bacterium. RNAcentral describes it as "partial 16S ribosomal RNA". It matches the Rfam family "Bacterial small subunit ribosomal RNA", at positions 524 to 776 of the family's 1533-position model. The record is from RNAcentral.
CACGUAGGAGGCGAGCGUUGUCCGGAAUCAUUGGGCGUAAAGAGCGCGCAGGCGGCUUGGCAAGUCGGGUGUGAAAUCCCGGGGCUCAACCCCGUGACUGCAUUCGAUACUGUCAGGCUAGAGGUAGGUAGGGGAGAUCGGAAUUCCUGGUGUAGCGGUGAAAUGCGCAGAUAUCAGGAGGAACACCGGUGGCGAAGGCGGGUCUCUGGGCCGAUACUGACGCUGAGGAGCGAAAGCAUGGGUAGCGAACAGG